AUCCAGUUGACGAUUCCCAAAUAGGACGAAACGCGCGUCCUGGAU
Schistosoma mansoni is the source of this 45-nucleotide non-coding RNA. Lineage: Eukaryota; Metazoa; Platyhelminthes; Trematoda; Strigeidida; Schistosomatidae. The record is from Rfam.